Molecule: long non-coding RNA, 1105 nt
Filed under: Cervus hanglu yarkandensis (Yarkand deer)
Lineage: Eukaryota; Metazoa; Chordata; Mammalia; Artiodactyla; Cervidae
Description: lncRNA (ENSCHYG00000015034.1)
Source: RNAcentral
CACCUGUUUCGCUACCGCCAGCCCGGCGCCCCCCCCGCCUCCAUUCCCGGAAACCUGACAGCCCCACCAAUCUGCAGUCCCAGGUGCCUCCGGCCACCCAGGCGUCUUGGUCAGCCCGGGAUCUCCCGCGCCCCAGGCCACGCCGGAGACCCUGACCUGGGCCACCUCCUUGCAGACGCCCUUCACUCUCUGUGCCCCAGGCUGAGGUCGCGUCGAAAUGAUGUCAAGGAAACCGGUGACCAACAGAGGACGCCAGUGGUCCAGGAUUGAAUUGGGAAUUAUCAAUACACUUUCAAGGUUCUUAAAAAGAGCCUGUGGAUCAGCAGUGGCAACUCGCAAUACCACCACGGGAGCGGACUCUCCUGGACGCUGCGGAAAACGGAUACUCCCCGGCUAGGAGGACAGGCGGCUAGGAGGAGCCUUUUGCAGUUUGCAGUAGAAACAUCAAAUAAGGACCUCCUUGCAUUCCCUCUUGUCCACAAAGGACAGGAGAUAGGAUGGGACAUAUCCCUUUUCAUUAACAGAAUUCAGUUGGCCUGAUUAUGAUUGGUGAUCGCUGGGGUCAGCCUGGUUUUCUUCAGCUCUAGACAGAAACCUCCCAUCUCCUUCCUCCACCCUGGCCAGAGCGCUCCUGUGUGUGUGUGUGUGUGUGUGUGUGUGUGUGUGUGUAUCACCAUAGCUAGCCUCCUUUUAGAAAUUGGAAAGGCCAAUUUACUCAUAGCAAAUAAAUAAAUAAUAAUGGUAAUAAUUGAGGGUCUUUCCUGGUGGCUCGUAUGUUAAAGAAUCUGCCAGUAAUACAGCAGACCCAGGUUUGAUCCCUGGGUCAGGAAGAUCCCCUGGAGAAGGGCUGGCAACCCACUCUUGUUUUCUUAUCUGGAGAAUUCCAUGGACAGAGAAGCUUGGCUGGCUAAAGUCCAUGGGAUCGCACAGAAUGGGACACCUGAGUGACUCACGCGUGUGCGCGCACACACACACACACACACACGCACACAUACACACACACGAUUAUUGAGGCUCUACAAAGGAGAAGAGAUCAAAGGCAAAUAGAGGAGGAUUUUGCUUCCCCCAGCGCACAAAGCCACAGCCCCUCAUUUCUGUCACCCAC